This 252-nucleotide ribosomal RNA is filed under the name uncultured prokaryote. RNAcentral describes it as "partial 16S ribosomal RNA". It matches the Rfam family "Bacterial small subunit ribosomal RNA", at positions 524 to 775 of the family's 1533-position model. The record is from RNAcentral.
UACGGAGGAUGCGAGCGUUAUCCGGAUUUAUUGGGUUUAAAGGGUGCGUAGGCGGCCGAGUAAGUCAGCGGUGAAAUUUUGCAGCUUAACUGUAACAGUGCCGUUGAUACUGCAUGGCUAGGAUUUGGUUGCUGUGGGUGGAAUGUGUGGUGUAGCGGUGAAAUGCUUAGAUAUCACACAGAAUAUCGAUUGCGAAGGCAGCUCACAAAGCCAAGAUUGACGCUGAGGCACGAAAGUGUGGGGAGUCAAACA